UUUUUUUAUUAGAAAAAAAUGAUCAGUAAAAUUUAACUAGUAUCAAACGAUCCAUUCCAACGUAAAGAAUAGUUUUUGUUGUGUACGCGGCGGCAGCGAUUGGAUUCGGAAGCAUUUUCGUUUAGCAUUGCUACAGCUAUUUCAGAAAUUAUUCAUAUGCGGAAUGAGAUUAUUAUUUUAAAAUAUUAAAAAUAAAUGUGUAUAUGAAUUUGAAUUUAAAAUAAAUUUAGUGAAAAAUAUUAAAAUAAUUACGAUAUUAAAAAUUUAAAUUAAAUUUUAUAAAAAAGUAUUUAAUAAAAGUUAUAAUAGAGUAUAACACAAAAUAUUCAAAAAUUAAAAUUUGACAAGCUACUUUACGUG
Molecule: long non-coding RNA, 360 nt
Organism: Condylostylus longicornis
Lineage: Eukaryota; Metazoa; Arthropoda; Insecta; Diptera; Dolichopodidae
Exons: 3
Source: RefSeq, a predicted model, not a curated record